This 465-nucleotide ribosomal RNA is filed under the name uncultured bacterium. RNAcentral describes it as "partial 16S ribosomal RNA". It matches the Rfam family "Bacterial small subunit ribosomal RNA", at positions 28 to 507 of the family's 1533-position model. The record is from RNAcentral.
GACGAACGCUGGCGGCGUGCCUAACACAUGCAAGUCGAACGGUAAGGCCCGAGCUUGCUGCGGUAGACGAGUUACGAACGGGGGAGUAACACGUGGGUUCCCUGUCACUCACUUCGGGAUAAGCCUGGGAAACUGGGUCUAAUCCCGGCUAGGAUCGCACCGUGAUGGUGGGGCGGGAGGUGUUUUAGGUGUGGGAUGGGCCAGCGGCCUAUCAGCUUGUUGGUGGGGUAGUGGCCUACCAAGGCGGCGAGGCGUAGCCGGCCUGAGAGGCGGGACGGCCCCGCUAGGCCUGAGACGAGGCCCAGACUCCUCCGGGACGCAGCAGUGGAGAAUAGUACACAGUGGGCGGAAGCCUGAUGCAGCGACGCCGCGUGGGGGAUGACGGCCUUCGGGUAGUAAACUCAUUUCACCUUCGCCGAAAGGUUACUGACGGUAGAUGGAGAAGAAGCACCGGCUAACUACGUG